AUACCAUGGUGGGGGCACUUUCAUAAUAUCUCCUUGAAUCAGUCCCAUGCCUCAUAUAAAGAUUAUUCGUGAAGUUGUUGGAAUGAAGUGAUUUCAUUUCAGAACUU
Molecule: non-coding RNA, 107 nt
Organism: Gossypium arboreum
Lineage: Eukaryota; Viridiplantae; Streptophyta; Magnoliopsida; Malvales; Malvaceae
Source: Rfam